Molecule: transfer RNA, 64 nt
Filed under: Marcia hiantina
Lineage: Eukaryota; Metazoa; Mollusca; Bivalvia; Venerida; Veneridae
Description: tRNA-Cys
Source: RNAcentral
AAGUCUUUUAGUUUAUAAAAAACGUUAAAUUGCAACUUUAAAAAAAGAUAUUUCUAAAGACUUU